This 232-nucleotide long non-coding RNA is filed under the name Populus trichocarpa (black cottonwood). Its description in RNAcentral is "long non-coding RNA (PTRI_LNC002151)". The record is from RNAcentral. Lineage: Eukaryota; Viridiplantae; Streptophyta; Magnoliopsida; Malpighiales; Salicaceae.
UGGUAUCAAUCCACUACGGACUAUGGUGUUCAUUUGUGAUUUCUCUGUCUUCUCGGAUUAGGCCCCGAGGAAAAGGAAACAAUCAGUGGAGGUUAUGAAGCUCUCCUUUUCUUUUCUUCUUUUAAAGACAGAGUGGUGAACAAGGCGUGGGUCUUGCUCUUAUUAUGAUUCUCGGCAUAUUCCCAACCACUGGAUACAAUCUCUCAGCCAUCCACGACUCCCUUCCUUUCAG